UACGUAGGGGGCUAGCGUUGUCCGGAAUCAUUGGGCGUAAAGAGCGUGUAGGCGGCCCGGUAAGUCAGCUGUGAAAGUCAAGGGCUCAACCCUUGAAAGCCGGUUGAUACUGUCGGGCUAGAGUCCGGAAGAGGCGAGUGGAAUUCCCGGUGUAGCGGUGAAAUGCGCAGAUAUCGGGAGGAACACCGGUGGCGAAGGCGGGUCUCUGGGCCGAUACUGACGCUGAGGAGCGAAAGCGUGGGGAGCGAACAGG
Molecule: ribosomal RNA, 253 nt
Filed under: uncultured bacterium
Lineage: Bacteria
Description: partial 16S ribosomal RNA
Rfam family: Bacterial small subunit ribosomal RNA
Source: RNAcentral